UACGUAGGCAGCGAGCGUUGUUCGGAGUUACUGGGCGUAAAGGGCGCGUAGGCGGUCGUGACAAGUCACUUGUGAAAUCUCCGGGCUUAACUCGGAACGGUCAAGUGAUACUGUCGGACUAGAGUACAGAAGGGGCAACUGGAAUUCUCGGUGGAGCGGUGAAAUGCGUAGAUAUCGAGAGGAACACCUGCGGCGAAGGCGGGUUGCUGGGCUGAUACUGACGCUGAGGCGCGAAAGCCAGGGGAGCGAACGGG
This 254-nucleotide ribosomal RNA is filed under the name uncultured bacterium. RNAcentral's name for it is "partial 16S ribosomal RNA". It matches the Rfam family "Bacterial small subunit ribosomal RNA", at positions 524 to 776 of the family's 1533-position model. The record is from RNAcentral.